RNAcentral lists this microRNA (21 nucleotides) under Mus musculus (house mouse). Its description in RNAcentral is "mmu-miR-6546-3p". Lineage: Eukaryota; Metazoa; Chordata; Mammalia; Rodentia; Muridae. The record is from miRBase by way of RNAcentral.
GAGCGAAGCCCAAGCGCCAGA